Penaeus monodon (black tiger shrimp) is the source of this 616-nucleotide long non-coding RNA. RefSeq lists it as uncharacterized. The transcript is spliced from 4 exons. NCBI's taxonomy places the organism in Eukaryota, Metazoa, Arthropoda, Malacostraca, Decapoda, Penaeidae. The record is from RefSeq and is a predicted model, not a curated record.
CAGCAUGGAAAAAAACGUGCAGGAUUUUUUGUGACGCUCUUGGUCGUUUGCUUACUGGUCACAGAGGCCAUGUCCUUACCACCAAAAGCGCUAUUGGGAUUAUUGCUCGUCUGCGUGUCGGCUUUCCAAGUCGAUGCACAUCAUGAUGCGAUUCCAAGAGAACCUACAAUGUGGCCAAGAAAUCCACAAAGAAUGGAAAGGGAAGGUCCUAUGAUAGCAAAUCCUCUAGCUAUAUACCCAAGGGGAGCUGCUGUGAUGGAAACAACCCAACAGUGAAACUAAGGGGAGCUCCUAUGUUGCCAAAAGAUUAGUCAAGAGGAGCUCCUAUGAUGCAAACAUACCUACCAGUGCAAGAGGACUCCCGUGAUGCAACAGACCCACCAGUAUUGACAAGGCGAUCUCCUAUGAUGCCAAACAAUCUACCAAUGACGGCAAGGAGAGUUCCAAUGAUACCAAAAAAUCCAACAGUGAUGGAAAGAUGAUCUCCAUUUAAGAUGAAACCUCCAUUAUAUUUAUGGCGAUGAUGGAUAUCUGGUGCAUUAUCCAUGAGUCACAUUCCAUGUAAUACAAAUGAUUGGAAAUCUGCAAUUAAUAAAAAACAAACAAACACAUAAAA